RNAcentral lists this ribosomal RNA (954 nucleotides) under Thysanozoon raphaeli. RNAcentral's name for it is "eukaryotic LSU rRNA". It matches the Rfam family "Eukaryotic large subunit ribosomal RNA", at positions 98 to 861 of the family's 3401-position model. Lineage: Eukaryota; Metazoa; Platyhelminthes; Polycladida; Pseudocerotidae. The record is from RNAcentral.
GGAGGAAGAGCCCAGCACCGAAUCCUUCACCAUCUCGGUGACAGGAAAUGUGGUGUUUAGGCCGUACCUUGUCCCGACACGUCUCUCCUCAAGUCCACUUGAUUGUGGCCCCAGGCCCAGAGAGGGUGUAAGGCCCGUGGAGGCGAGACGUUCGGUACCUGGUGCGUCCUUAGAGUCGGGUUGUUUGGGAAUGCAGCCCUAAGCGGGUGGUAAACUCCAUCCAAGGCUAAAUACCAGCACGAGUCCGAUAGCGAAGAAGUACCGCGAGGGAAGGUUGAAAAGAACUUUGAAGAGAGAGUUCAAGAGUACGUGAAACCGCUGAGAGGCAAACUGGUGGAACUGAAAUGGUCCCGAGGAAUUCAGCCGUUGGUCGUUGCACAGUCUUUGGUGAUUGAUCUAACGACGGCGCCAUUGAAUGACGUUUCGAUCAUCGGUGCACUUUCCUCGCCUGGGCCCGACCACGACCGGUGAGCUGAUCUGUCUGUCGUGCCUGGAAGAUAGCGCCGUCUUCGGAAGGCGUGUUAUAGACAGGCAUACGGAGCAGUCGGCGCACUGGAUGAUAGUGCCUGCCCAUCUGGGCUCAUAUGGUGGUUGUUUUGUUGGCGAGUUCUGAUGUCACUACUUCGGUAGAGUCGUUAGACUCUGUUGGCAUUAUGGCUGUCCUCUAUGAUUGGCACUGUUAAGUCUGUGGUUGUGAAGUAGGUAGUCCACCUGACCCGUCUUGAAACACGGACCAAGGAGUCUAACAUGUGCGCGAGUCAUUGGGUUCACGAAACCUAAAGGCGCAGUGAAGGUAAAGAUCUGUUUUGGCAGAUUGAGGUGGGAUGCCGGGUUACGCGCCCGGCCGCACUACCGGCCCGUUCUAUAUGUCUUUCAUAGGAGCGGAGCAAGAGCGUACACGUUGGGACCCGAAAGAUGGUGAACUAUGCUUGCGCAGGUCGAAGCCAGAGGAAA